GCUCAUAGAGUGCAAGUUUGGAGUGACGGGUAACACCCGCGUAUUCUUUUAGGGGGAGGUCACCCAGGCGAGUGGAGUUUCAGAAGAAGAGGAGGGGCAGGAGGAAGGAAGGAGAAAGAAGCAUCUGAUCUGUCCAAUUCUCCUGGUAGUGCCGGGAGCGAGAGCUGCGGUCUCAUCUCGUAAGAGCUGUGAGACGCCUACAUAUUCUCAUAAGUGGAGGAAAGCCAGGCACCUGGAGCUGUAGAAGAGGAAGGGAGAAGACAAAGAAAAGGAAGAGCCUGCUGGUGGCCUGGCCAGCGUGACCCCCUGGAGUCGGGGCUGGUCACGGCACUUGUCCCUCAGUCCCCCGCGAAGCCCCGUGGCACGUUGAGUCCCUCUGGGCUCCGUGCGUCUGGGGGGGCAGGUCCCAGGCUCUGCUCUCCUGCUUGCGGGAGGGGAUGGCUCCCCAGACAUUGGCUGCACAAAGCUCGCUCUCUCUUCUGGGAAGUUUUCUUUCCCCCUAUCCGUGUCCGUGUGCCUGCCUGUGUCCGCGUCGGUGCGAGUGUGCGAGUGAAGGAGCUUCUUGUUUAGGCCCCUGUUGAAAUCGCUGCAGCGUACUGAGCUUAAACUUCCCGGGAGGGAAAGAGGGGCUCUGUGCAGCAACAGGGGGUCGGUCCCCGCUGAGCCCGCGAGUGGAGGGCGAGUCCCGGCUUGCCCCUCCUUUCCAAGGACAGAGCCAAGCCACGUGGUCGUAGCAUGGCCGACGAGUGACCCGCCCGCAGUCUGGGCCUGGGUCACUGCCUGGGUGGCUGCCUGUCCUGCUGGCGACCUGCCAGCGUGCUGGCCCCGUACUCGGAGCGAGUGCCACGAGCCGUGGAGCCCUCUGACCCCAGGAGCAGCCCGACGGCCCUGUAAGCAGGGU
Molecule: long non-coding RNA, 901 nt
Organism: Athene cunicularia (burrowing owl)
Lineage: Eukaryota; Metazoa; Chordata; Aves; Strigiformes; Strigidae
Exons: 3
Source: RefSeq, a predicted model, not a curated record